Long non-coding RNA from Neopelma chrysocephalum (saffron-crested tyrant-manakin), 1843 nucleotides. RefSeq lists it as uncharacterized. NCBI's taxonomy places the organism in Eukaryota, Metazoa, Chordata, Aves, Passeriformes, Pipridae. The transcript is spliced from 4 exons. The record is from RefSeq and is a predicted model, not a curated record.
GGGAGCAAACAUGGUGGCCGUGCCUGAGGGGACACCACUGUGUAAAUCACCCUCAGCUGCCAUGGCCAGACCUGCACCCACAGCCCGUGGAGCUCACCCCACACGAGCAUGGCUGCCCACUCCCCUGCCCCUCUAUAAGCACCCUGGGUUUCAGGCUGUGUGCUGCUAUAAAGCAAAGCACGCCAGCUCCCACAGCUGCCUCUGAACUGCCACAAAAAGCAGAUGAGCUGUGAGGGAGGACACUCCCCUUCAGGAUAAGAAAAUAAUCAGUAAAGAGAAUAUGUAGAGAAGCACAAUGAUGUUUCAUCUGUUCCAGAUCCAAGAUUCUUUCCUGGAGUCCAGGGGAAAGUGCAUCCUUGUGACUGAAAUCCAAGGAUCAGGAGUUCGUGUCCUCACUGAAGCCCCACAGCAGAACUGCACUUCAGGAAAGCAAGUCCUGGGAAUAGCAGGUGUUUGCAGCACUGAAGAGCUCCAGCCCAGCACACGCCAGAGACAGCCCAGAGCUGGAGGGGAGGUUUGAGAUGGUUCUGAAACUGGACAUACAAAGUAUCCAUGGAUUCGUCUCCUCUCCUGUUUGACAGAAAGCACAGGCCCGACUCCGAGUCUUUACACAUCUCCUGUAAGUUACUGCAUGAACAUUUGCAUUUUCACAUUGAGAUCUUACACAAAGUAUAUAGUGAACCCUGUAACCCUUCCAAAGUGAUGUUUAAUCUGACUAUUAUUUGUGGGCUUGUUAUCAGGUUUGGGCACUGCUGCACGAGUGCCUCAGUGAUUUCACACUGUGACCUGGCUUUGUAGGAUGGGUUAAUCACUAUGUUUACAUUUCUUUCUUCUCUUAAAUUAUAGAGUUGAUUUUACUUUUCUUAUGAUGGCAAUUUUAUUGUAAGGUUUUAUUUCUCUUUUACUGCGUAUGAAAUGGAACACUGAGGUGCAACCAAAAUUACCCUUGUAAUUGCAGCACAGUGAAUAAGUAUGUGCAAGAGAAUAAUCUUGUAAAAGCUGAUUACCCUGGUUAUUAAUAAUUAGGAUUUGUGAGUUAAGUAAUAUGGAGCAGCUAUAUCCAAUUCCUUGGCAAUUUCAUGUAGACAGCUGAGAGAUAAUUUUAGAAAUAAUCCAGUGUGAAAUCCCAAUUGACAACUGAACCAGCAUCUUAGGGUCUGCCUGGGGCUUCUCCCUGGGCUUUGGCUGUUUGAAGCUGGAGUGGCAAUUUGCAGUUUUCUCUCAUCUGUGGCACAUAAAAAUUUGCCCAUUUUAAUUUCUUUGUGCUUUGCUUAAUUUGAUUCUUAGUAAGAUUUUUGUUUUCCCUGGGUUCUCCUGGCAGAAGAAUUAAUAUAUCUGAGGUUUGUAUGCAUGUACAUGGGGUUGGCUGUUCCUUAUGUUUCCUUCUGUAUUUUUUUCUGAUGGUUUAUUACCUACUAAACAGGCUUAGUGUAAAUAAUAUUUUUUAUACCUUUGAAAAUAUCAUAGAGCACUUCUAAUCUACUCUAUUCUGAUUUGGUGAUACAUGAACUCUUGCAAGUCUGGAGAGAACAGUUACAAAUCUAAUGGUUUUUUGGCCCUUCUGUAAGUUUAUGCAGGAGCCUAAGUGGGUGCCCAUCCAUAAAAAACCAAGUAAUUUUGUUGAGCACUCCCCAAAACUCUCUCCUCCACCCCCAGGAGUUCUCCAGUCCUGCACCUGCCAGGCACUUACCAUACAUCAUCACUGGGGAGUCCAGGCUCUAAUCAAAGCUUUUGGGAUUGCUCUUUCAGUUCAAGUCUCAGCAGAAAUCAAGUUUUCAUCUCGCAGGUGAUGAAAGGCGAGGGCCCUGUCAGUCAGGGCUGAGGUAACUUGCUCAGCCUAACA